AUGUCGGGAUUAUUAGUUUAUAAUUAUUUUGUGCAUCACAAUCUUCAAAUUCAAAAGGAGAAAUAUAGCACAUACACAUCACAACUCCUCUGUUUCUCCGCCUCAAAGCAGCAGCACAAAACAGGCUUCAUUAAUCUCAAUUUGCGAGUGAAAUUAGUUCAAGCAUAUAAACUCAACCUGAAUUAUCAAGGAUGCAAGCAAAUGGAUCAAACAACAACGAAAGGGAUAGAUCGUACCACAAAAGGGCUUGACUUCUUGCUACUGUUGGUGGUGGCCACGGCAGGAUCGGAGCGAGUGGAGUAA
Molecule: ribosomal RNA, 303 nt
Filed under: Triticum aestivum (bread wheat)
Lineage: Eukaryota; Viridiplantae; Streptophyta; Magnoliopsida; Poales; Poaceae
Description: partial small subunit ribosomal RNA
Source: RNAcentral